GGCUUUCGGGCUGAGUAGAGCGGCGGACGGGUGAGUAACGCGUAGGAAUCUACCUGGUAGUGGGGGACAACUUGGGGAAACUCAAGCUAAUACCGCAUACGCCCCAAGGGGGAAAGCGGGGGACCUUCGGGCCUCGCGCUAUCAGAUGAGCCUGCGUAGGAUUAGCUUGUUGGUGAGGUAAAGGCUCACCAAGGCGACGAUCCUUAGCUGGUCUGAGAGGAUGAUCAGCCACACUGGGACUGAGACACGGCCCAGACUCCUACGGGAGGCAGCAGUGGGGAAUAUUGCGCAAUGGGGGCAACCCUGACGCAGCCAUGCCGCGUGUGUGAAGAAGGCCUUCGGGUUGUAAAGCACUUUAAGUGGGGAGAAAAGGGUAGCGGUUAAUAGCCGUUACCUGUGAUGUUACCCACAGAAUAAGCACCGGCUAACUCCGUGCCAGCAGCCGCGGUAAUACGGAGGGUGCGAGCGUUAAUCGGAAUUACUGGGCGUAAAGCGCGCGUGGCGGUUUGUUAAGUCAGCUGUGAAAGCCCCGGGCUCAACCUGGGAACUGCAGUUGAUACUG
This 562-nucleotide ribosomal RNA is filed under the name uncultured Gammaproteobacteria bacterium. RNAcentral describes it as "bacterial SSU rRNA". It matches the Rfam family "Bacterial small subunit ribosomal RNA", at positions 75 to 635 of the family's 1533-position model. The record is from RNAcentral. Lineage: Bacteria; Pseudomonadati; Pseudomonadota; Gammaproteobacteria.